AGAGAGAGACAUGCGCGCAUAUCAAUAAGCGGAGGAAAAGAAACUAACAAGGAUUCCCCUAGUAACGGCGAGUGAAGCGGGAAGAGCUCAAAUUUGAAAUCUUAAAGGGUUUCCCUUUACGAAUUGUAGUUUAAAGAAGUGUUUUCUGUUGAGGUUUUGGUAAAAGUUCUUUGGAAUAGGACAUCAUAGAGGGUGAGAAUCCCGUAUUUGACCUUUACUUUCAACUUUGUGAUACACUUUCAAAGAGUCGGAUUGUUUGGGAAUGCAGUCCAAAAUGGGUGGUAAAUUUCAUCUAAAGCUAAAUAUUGGCGAGAGACCGAUAGCGAACAAGUACCGUGAGGGAAAGAUGAAAAGAACUUUGAGAAGAGAGUUAAACAGUACGUGAAAUUGUCAAAAGGGAAGCGUUUGACACCAGUGUUGUUUUUCUGAAAAUCAAUUAAAGAACUGUUUAUGCUAAGCUGUUUAGACUUUAUCAGCUAUCUGUUUAGUUUUGAGCUUUUCUUUAAUGCACUUUUCAGUUAACAAGUCAACAUCAAUUUCUUUUGCUGUAAAAAAGCUUGAGGAAGGUGGCUUGAGAUUCGUCUUAAGUGUUUAUAGCCUCUUGCCUAUGCAGUCGGAGAGAUUGAGGUCUGCAGCGUAGAUCCUUCGGGGCUAAAUGCAUUUGUGCUAAGUUAUAGCAUUUUAUAGACAACUUGUUGACUAUGAUUUGUCUUGUAGCUUACUCGCUUAUGUUAUUUUACCUACGCUUAGGAUGUUGACGCAUGAGAUAUACGC
RNAcentral lists this ribosomal RNA (774 nucleotides) under uncultured Neocallimastigales. Its description in RNAcentral is "partial large subunit ribosomal RNA". It matches the Rfam family "Eukaryotic large subunit ribosomal RNA", at positions 23 to 647 of the family's 3401-position model. Lineage: Eukaryota; Fungi; Neocallimastigomycota; Neocallimastigomycetes; Neocallimastigales. The record is from RNAcentral.